GGAACAUGGAACAUCCUGGUGGCGCCGUGUGUUAUUUGGUGAUCGCUCUAGUUAGGGCUAUAUCACACUAUACUACAAGGUGACCCGUACAGGAUGAGAAUAUCAUGAAACUAUUUGUUUCAUCUUAAUAUAUCGUCGUUUGAAAUGGUAAGCUUAAUGCUCACUUGUAGAUUCGAAACUGCUAGUAACGUAUAGAUUCCAAACUGCUACUACCCAGCUAUGCUAACUCUUACUUGGCUGCGCGGUGAUUUGAAAUGUGAAAUCCGCUGUGAUUGCCUUGUCGGCAAAUCUAACAGUUUUCAAUUAUGCAUUUAAUAAAUUAAUUGAAUUUCCAUAGUAACAAGAGAAUUUGCUACAUGGUGAGUUUACCCUAGAAUUGCCCUGUUUUAGAGAGGGCCCACGUGUUUGCCAUGCGGUGAAACAUUAGCCAGAUUCCAUUUGACCAAUCUAUAACGGUAGUAGUUUGCAGGCUAGGUAUGUAGCAGUUCGUAAUGUGUGUUAAAGGAUGACAGCACAAGACUAUAUAGUCUCUGAUACAGCAUGAUGGUCUUUCACAGUGCACUGAAAACGCAUGUUUAUACACCAACGAUUAUCACUGUAAUGUCACUUAUGAACGGUCAUCAGUGUUUCAACCUUCUUUCAGCAGUCUGCCGGGUAUGGAGGCUCUUGUGACUAUGGGCUCAAGCAAACCUUGGCAAAUUUUGUGCCCCCCUUAUCACCAGGCCUUCCACACACUCAACUGGUAAAGCCCAGUUACUGGACCUGGAGACCGGAUGUCUGUCUUUACAGUGGCUUGCAGGAGGGCAAGGUUCUUUCAUUUAAAGAUUGACUUGGAUGGAAUCAUGGUCUGUCUACAACCAAGCUAAAAGCUCCAGGUGUGAAGUUAUGAGGUGUUCCUGUACCUGGAAUGUGAUGUCGGUCUUUACUUGCAGGAGGGGAAGGUCCUUUCAUUUCAAGAUUGACUUGGAUGGAAUCAUGGUCUGUCUACGAUCAAGCUAGAUGCUCCAGGUGUGAAGUCAUGAGGUGUUCCUGUACCUGGAAUGUGAUGUCGGUCUUUACAGGGGCUUGCAGGAGGGGAAGGUCCUUUCAUUUCAAGAUUGACUUGGAUGGAAUCAUGGUCUGUCUACGAUCCAAGCUAGAAGCUCCAGUUGUGAAGUCAUGAGGUGUUCCUGUAACUGAUGUCUGUCUUUACAGUGGCUUGCAGGAGGGGAAGGUCCUUUCAUUUUCAAGAUUGACUUGGAUGGAAUCAUGGUCAGUCUACGAUCAAGCUAGAAGCUCCAGUUGUGAAGUCAUGAGGUGUUGCUGUUAUGAAGAUCUACAUUAACUGCACUGGGACCCAACAACCUCCAAGACUCAUAAAUUCGAAAUAAAUUUCUUUAAAUUGAA
Clupea harengus (Atlantic herring) is the source of this 1386-nucleotide long non-coding RNA. Lineage: Eukaryota; Metazoa; Chordata; Actinopteri; Clupeiformes; Clupeidae. The record is from Ensembl.